Molecule: long non-coding RNA, 570 nt
Organism: Solanum dulcamara
Lineage: Eukaryota; Viridiplantae; Streptophyta; Magnoliopsida; Solanales; Solanaceae
Exons: 3
Source: RefSeq, a predicted model, not a curated record
AGAAAAGAAAAGUCUAGAAGAAAAGAGAAGAAGAAAAAAAAAACUUGAGCUAGAGAGAGAGCGCUACGGUUUUGGGGAGAAAAAGCCCCAAAACGUUAACAAACAGCCCCGAAGUUUCAGCUGCGCUAAAGAAAAUUUCGAGGCGAGUUCUGGCAAGUUUUGGCGAGUUUCGGGUAAGGUACAGACGCACAGUUUGGAGACCCACCAGCUUAGGACUCCUAUCAGCAAGUUCGGGAGAGCUUCAUUGUAUCGGAGCUUAGCUAUGGUAUUGAUCCCUUGACGUAUAUAUUUGUUUUGUUCAUUCAGGGGUACGGCGGGGGCUCUGUCCCGCCUUAUGUGUACUGUUCUUACUCUUAGAGGUCGGUAAACAUGAAUGUGGAUUGUAUAUGUAUGUAUGUGUAGUGGUGCCUAUCAGACUGAUGUUUUGGGACGUCCCCUUUGUCACGAUAGCCUCAUCGGCUUAUAUGUUAUCAUGUCUGUUGAUACAUUAUGACUCAAACAGGGGACAAAUUUAUUUAUCGUUAGCAGGGGUGUAUGCGAGCGUCCAGUUCGGACAUCCGUCGCAGCCUA